GAUAAUCAUCUUCAAAUCUGAAGGCUCCUUUGUUCAGUUGAUCGCUUCAAGCUAAUCCAGGUCGUUCUCUCUCUCGUUUUCUGGUGAAUCAAAACUGGAUUUCUGCCAUUUCCUCUCUGUGUUUUCUGUGGUCGCCGCUUUUUCUAGUUUUCCUCGACUGCCACUCUGUGCUUGCCGCUCUCACUGUGCUUGCCACUCUCUCUAUGCUUGUCGCUUUCAAUGUUUUUCUCUUGGCAUACCUCCUGGUACCAGGUAUCCAAACCCUUACCCCUUUUUUUUACUCUCUCGCGCUCUCUCUCUCUCUACCGUUUAAUACCUAUACCCUUUAACCUUUUUUCUUUUUCACUAUUUCUAUCUUUACCAUUGAAUAGCCAUACGUGGCACU
This 385-nucleotide long non-coding RNA is filed under the name Amborella trichopoda. RNAcentral's name for it is "long non-coding RNA (ATRI_LNC003555)". Lineage: Eukaryota; Viridiplantae; Streptophyta; Magnoliopsida; Amborellales; Amborellaceae. The record is from RNAcentral.